UACGGAGGGUGCAAGCGUUAAUCGGAAUUACUGGGCGUAAAGCGUGCGUAGGUGGUUCGUUAAGUCCGUUGUGAAAGCCCCGAGCUCAACUUGGGAAUUGCAGUGGAUACUGGCGAGCUGGAGUGCGGUAGAGGAAGGUGGAAUUCCCGGUGUAGCGGUGAAAUGCGUAGAGAUCGGGAGGAACACCAGUGGCGAAGGCGGGUCUCUGGACAGUUCCUGACACUGAGACACGAAGGCCAGGGGAGCAAACGGG
Molecule: ribosomal RNA, 253 nt
Filed under: uncultured bacterium
Lineage: Bacteria
Description: partial 16S ribosomal RNA
Rfam family: Bacterial small subunit ribosomal RNA
Source: RNAcentral